UUGGGGGAUAUUUCCUCUUUGGGCUGAAGACUGGGGCAGACGAUUAGUUGUAGGCUGAUGAACACAGUAAGAUGGUCCGAUCCUAGCUCUGGUUCAUAAUGAUACUUGAACCUAAAUUGUGGUCCUGAGCAGAAUUUAAGGAUCGGUUAUUCUUGGUUUCGUCGUCAUAUUUACUUCUACCUUCAUAGCGACCGGCAUUCAAUACUGACAACUGUAGAUAGCAAGAUACUUAGGCAUACCGGACU
RNAcentral lists this long non-coding RNA (245 nucleotides) under Elaeis guineensis (African oil palm). Its description in RNAcentral is "long non-coding RNA (EGUI_LNC032090)". The record is from RNAcentral. Lineage: Eukaryota; Viridiplantae; Streptophyta; Magnoliopsida; Arecales; Arecaceae.